AUGACCUACGGGAGGCAGCAGUGAGGAAUAUUGGUCAAUGGGCGAGAGCCUGAACCAGCCAAGUCGCGUGAGGGAAGGCGGUCCUAUGGAUUGUAAACCUCUUUUGCCGGGGAGCAAAAAGCGGUACGUGUACCGCAUCGAAGGGACCCGGAGAAAAAGCAUCGGCUAACUCCGUGCCAGCAGCCGCGGGAAUACGGAGGAUGCGAGCGUUAUCCGGAUUUAUUGGGUUUAAAGGGUGCGUAGGCGGAAUGCCAAGUC
Molecule: ribosomal RNA, 258 nt
Filed under: uncultured bacterium
Lineage: Bacteria
Description: partial 16S ribosomal RNA
Rfam family: Bacterial small subunit ribosomal RNA
Source: RNAcentral